Molecule: unclassified non-coding RNA, 566 nt
Filed under: Hevea brasiliensis (rubber tree)
Lineage: Eukaryota; Viridiplantae; Streptophyta; Magnoliopsida; Malpighiales; Euphorbiaceae
Source: RNAcentral
CGAGAAAGAAGCAAUAUUUAACAAGUUUGACGUAAUUGCUUAUAAGAAAAGUGAGUAAAGGGGAAGCCAAGUAACAUCUAUGUAUGACAUUCUCAAAACAGUGGAAGAGGAGAGGGGAAUGAAUGUUACAACUGCUGCAUGCAAAAGUUAACUACAUACAUAAAAAAGCAUGCAAACCUGUAAAUAUACUGAUUUUCACACAUCAUAACGAAAGCACCUAAGCAUAACAUGAAAGCAAAGGUCCAUUUUUGUCUUCAAAGACAGAAUUACUAUGCUCCUACCAAGGCAGUUAAAUGGGUAAAGAAGCUAUCAUUUGCACUUCUAUGCCAUUUUAUUUUGAAAACUAAAAGAGAUGUCGUUUAAUAAUUCCACAGACAUAGUUCAACUUUUGAAACAAUAAUGCUUAUCCUACUUAAUAUAACCAGUUAUAAUGCUAAAGAAACUGAUUUCAUUUCUUGAACGCUCAAUUGUUAUGGGCAUCCUUCUGUUUGUAAAAUAUGAGAGAUGGAAACACUGUUGAUGUACAACAAGAAGAAACUAAAGAUUAAUGGAAACACUGUUGAUGC